AUUGAACGCUGGCGGCUUGCCUUACACAUGCAAGUCGAACGGCAGCACGGGAGCAAUCCUGGUGGCGAGUGGCGAACGGGUGAGUAAAGUAUCGGAACGUGCCCAGUCGUGGGGGAUAACGUAGCGAAAGUUACGCUAAUACCGCAUACGAUCUAUGGAUGAAAGCGGGGGAUCGCAAGACCUCGCGCGAUUGGAGCGGCCGAUAUCAGAUUAGGUAGUUGGCGGGGUAAAGGCUCACCAAGCCGACGAUCUGUAGCUGGUCUGAGAGGACGACCAGCCACACUGGGACUGAGACACGGCCCAGACUCCUACGGGAGGCAGCAGUGGGGAAUUUUGGACAAUGGGCGAAAGCCUGAUCCAGCCAUGCCGCGUGCAGGAUGAAGGCCUUCGGGUUGUAAACUGCUUUUGUACGGAACGAAAAGGUUUGGCCUAAUAAGCUGAGCUCAUGACGGUACCGUAAGAAUAAGCACCGGCUAACUACGUGCCAGCAGCCGCCGUAA
Molecule: ribosomal RNA, 500 nt
Filed under: uncultured bacterium
Lineage: Bacteria
Description: partial 16S ribosomal RNA
Rfam family: Bacterial small subunit ribosomal RNA
Source: RNAcentral